This 506-nucleotide ribosomal RNA is filed under the name uncultured bacterium. RNAcentral's name for it is "partial 16S ribosomal RNA". It matches the Rfam family "Bacterial small subunit ribosomal RNA", at positions 29 to 523 of the family's 1533-position model. The record is from RNAcentral.
AGUGAACGCUGGCGGUAGGCCUAACACGCGCAAGUCGAACGGCAGCACAGAGGAGCUUGCUCCUUGGGUGGCGAGUGGCGGACGGGUGAGGAAUACAUCGGAAUCUACUCUGUCGUGGGGGAUAACGUAGGGAAACUUACGCUAAUACCGCAUACGACCUACGGGUGAAAGCAGGGGAUCUUCGGACCUUGCGCGAUUGAAUGAGCCGAUGUCGGAUUAGCUAGUUGGCGGGGUAAAGGCCCACCAAGGCGACAAUCCGUAGCUGGUCUGAGAGGAUGAUAAGCCACACGGGAACUGAGAGACGGUCCAGACUCCUACGGGAGGCAGACGUGGGGAAGAUUGGACAAUGGGCGCAAGCCUGAUCCAGCCAUACCGCGUGGGUGAAGAAGGCCUUCGGGUUGUAAAGCCCUUUUGUUGGGAAAGAAAUCCAUCUUGUUAAUACCCGGGUGGGACGACGGUACCCAAAGAAUAAGCACCGGCUAACUUCGUGCCAGCCGCCGCCGUAA